This is a non-coding RNA of Picea glauca (white spruce), 122 nucleotides long. Lineage: Eukaryota; Viridiplantae; Streptophyta; Pinopsida; Pinales; Pinaceae. The record is from Rfam.
AUGUACAUUCCUACAACAUAGAGUUAAUGCACUGGAUCCCAUUAGAACUCCGCAGUUAAGCGUGCUCAGGCUAUAGUAGUACUGGGAUGGGUGAUCGCUCGAAAGUUCUAGUGUUUUACGUG